UCCUCCUUAGCUCAGCUGGUUAGAGCACCUGACUGUUAAUCAGGGGGUCCUAGGUUCAAAUCCUAGAGGAGGAG
Molecule: transfer RNA, 74 nt
Filed under: bacterium
Lineage: Bacteria
Description: tRNA-Asn
Rfam family: tRNA
About the family: Transfer RNA (tRNA) molecules are approximately 80 nucleotides in length. Their secondary structure includes four short double-helical elements and three loops (D, anti-codon, and T loops).
Source: RNAcentral